This 329-nucleotide unclassified non-coding RNA is filed under the name plant metagenome. Its description in RNAcentral is "partial contains 5.8S ribosomal RNA, internal transcribed spacer 2, and large subunit ribosomal RNA". The stretch from base 1 to 105 matches the Rfam family "5.8S ribosomal RNA", at positions 50 to 154 of the family's 154-position model. The record is from RNAcentral.
GAAAUGCGAUAAGUAAUGUGAAUUGCAGAAUCUCGUGAAUCAUCGAAUCUUUGAACGCACAUUGCGCCCUCUGGUAUUCCGGGGGGCAUGCCUGUCCGAGCGUCAUUGCGAACCCCUCAAGCACGGCUUGUGUGAUGGGCCCUCCCGCGUCUUGGUCGUCAAGACGGGCCCGAAAUGCAGUGGCGGCUUCGCGGUUAUCCGAUCAGCCAGAGCGUAUGGGGACUUUCUCUCUGUCACACGCCCGCGGCGCGGACCGACGCCUGUCGACCUUCAUUCAUCGUUUUCUCGGUUGACCUCGGAUCAGGUAGGGAUACCCGCUGAACUUAAGC